AAUCUCCAUUUUUAGACCUUUGGGAGGGGAGGAGUGGUCUGGAGGGUCAGAGUGGCUCUGGAUUUCCUCCUGAAAGGGUGGAGUUUGGAGUUGGUGUCUAGUCAGGAAUGGAAAAAUGGAAGCGUGCUUUGAUAAGUAGAUGAGAAAGGGAAGACACCCUCUAGGGCAGACCAGGGAGGAUAUCCUUCCACCUUCCUUCAGGGUUGACCCAGCAACUCGCAUUGGCUGAAACUGGUUCUGAAGAAUGAGCCAUGAAUUGGCAACAGAAAAGACCAGGUCUCAAGUUUCUCACUAAGAUUUUGAUGAAGCAUCUCACAGUUUCCAGGGGAGGGUUCAGUUUUGCCCUUGUGUGAAGACAUCUGGAAAUGACUGACGUGAAAAGAAAAGUCAUUUUAAAAAAGCAUAACCAAAAAAUAAAAAAAAGAGGAAACCCAGACUCAUUUGGAAGAGGGACGGAGAACUGGAGGAUCUAUUAUCAACAUUAUAUGAAGCUGUGUGUCCUUUGGAAUCCCCUUCUUACCCUGACUGGACAAGCACACUGUGGCGACUGGAAUGCUUGAGCCUCGGUUCUUUCAUCUCUCCUAUAAGAGAUUUGUGCUGCGUACUCUCUGAAGCCUCUUCCAGUUUUGUGGGACAAAGUUAAAAGGUAGGGGAUAGAGUGAAAUCAGGAAUUCUGGACUUCAUUCUUCUUUAGAUACUGACUUGUGAUCAUGGGCAAAUCACUUCAAGCCUCAAAUGUCACAAUGGUAAAUGGGUAUCUACCUCAAAGGAGUGUUUUGAGGAAAGUGAUUUUCAAACCUUAUGGAAUGGGGAGAUGCUAUUUUUUAAAAUGAAAAAGUCAUACAGCUCAAGCCAGGACUGGAAUUCAGGUCUUUGGAAUACCAAGCCAGUACUCUACAUUCUUUUCUUUUCCUAUGAUAGUGACCACAUGAAGUAGUAGAUUGUUAGUGCUAGAAGGACCUUAGAGGUCAUAUGCUUCAAUCCUUUUAUCUCACACAGGAGAAAAUGAAAGCCUAGAAAGUUUGGUUAAAGUGAACUGCUUAAGGUCACAAAGGUAAUGAGAAGCAGAACUAGGAUUUAAAUCAAUCAGUCAAUAAACAAAAUUUAUUAAGUGCCUACUACUAGUAG
RNAcentral lists this long non-coding RNA (1128 nucleotides) under Monodelphis domestica (gray short-tailed opossum). Its description in RNAcentral is "lncRNA (ENSMODG00000034869.2)". The record is from RNAcentral. Lineage: Eukaryota; Metazoa; Chordata; Mammalia; Didelphimorphia; Didelphidae.